RNAcentral lists this ribosomal RNA (505 nucleotides) under uncultured bacterium. RNAcentral describes it as "partial 16S ribosomal RNA". It matches the Rfam family "Bacterial small subunit ribosomal RNA", at positions 28 to 507 of the family's 1533-position model. The record is from RNAcentral.
GACGAACGCUGGCGGCGUGCCUAAUACAUGCAAGUAGAACGCACAGUUUAUACCGUAGCUUGCUACACCAUAGACUGUGAGUUGCGAACGGGUGAGUAACGCGUAGGUAACCUGCCUGGUAGCGGGGGAUAACUAUUGGAAACGAUAGCUAAUACCGCAUAAUAUUAAUUAUUGCAUGAUAAUUAAUUGAAAGGUGCAAUUGCACCACUACCAGAUGGACCUGCGUUGUAUUAGCUAGUAGGUGAGGUAACGGCUCACCUAGGCGACGAUACAUAGCCGACCUGAGAGGGGGAUCGGCCACACUGGGACUGAGACACGGCCCAGACUCCUACGGGAGGCAGCAGGAGGGAAUCUUCGGCAAUGGACGAAAGUCUGACCGAGCAACGCCGCGUGAGUGAAGAAGGUUUUCGGAUCGUAAAGCUCUGUUGUAAGAGAAGAACGGGUGUGAGAGUGGAAAGUUCACACUGUGACGGUAUCUUACCAGAAAGGGACGGCUAACUACGUG